CAGGCCUAACACAUGCAAGUCGAACGGGGUUAUUUCCGGAAGUCGGCUUCGGCCGACAACUGGUUUAACUUAGUGGCGCACGGGUGAGUAACACGUGGGUAACCUACCCUCGGGAGGGGGACAACUUCGGGAAACCGAAGCUAAUACCGCAUAAGACCACGGACUGAAAUGUCUGAGGUAAAAGUGGUAACACGCCCGAGGAUGGGCCCGCGUCCUAUCAGGUUGUUGGUAGGGUAACGGCCUACCAAGCCCAAGACGGGUAGCCGGUCUGAGAGGAUGGACGGCCACACUGGAACUGAGACACGGUCCAGACUCCUACGGGAGGCAGCAGUGAGGAAUUUUGCGCAAUGGGCGAAAGCCUGACGCAGCGACGCCGCGUGAAGGACGAAGGCCUUCGGGUUGUAAACUUCUUUUCUCAGGGAAGAUAAUGACGGUACCUGAGGAAUAAGCCACGGCUAACUCUGUGCCAGCAGCCGCGGUAAU
This 483-nucleotide ribosomal RNA is filed under the name uncultured bacterium. RNAcentral describes it as "bacterial SSU rRNA". It matches the Rfam family "Bacterial small subunit ribosomal RNA", at positions 43 to 524 of the family's 1533-position model. The record is from RNAcentral.